GCGUUGGUGGUUCAGUGGUAGAAUUCUCGCCUGCCACGCGGGAGACCGGGGUUCGAUUCCCCGCCAACGCA
RNAcentral lists this transfer RNA (71 nucleotides) under Paramuricea clavata. It matches the Rfam family "tRNA". From Rfam's summary of the family: Transfer RNA (tRNA) molecules are approximately 80 nucleotides in length. Lineage: Eukaryota; Metazoa; Cnidaria; Anthozoa; Malacalcyonacea; Plexauridae. The record is from Rfam by way of RNAcentral.